UAUUUGCAAGAAAGAGUUUAGCAUUGUCUUUGGCAAGGGCAGAGGAGUCACAUGGGCCUAACAACAUACAUACAAGGUCAGGCAUUACCAGCUACUUGUCGGUAUCUACCUAGUUUUAAUC
Molecule: small nuclear RNA, 121 nt
Organism: Acomys russatus (golden spiny mouse)
Lineage: Eukaryota; Metazoa; Chordata; Mammalia; Rodentia; Muridae
Source: RefSeq, a predicted model, not a curated record